Molecule: ribosomal RNA, 357 nt
Filed under: Triticum aestivum (bread wheat)
Lineage: Eukaryota; Viridiplantae; Streptophyta; Magnoliopsida; Poales; Poaceae
Description: partial small subunit ribosomal RNA
Source: RNAcentral
AUGCCCCCACCUGAAACCAUGAACAAUGUUAGACUGCGCUACGCUGAAGAAGGCGUGCUAGAUGGAUAUGAUGUUCUGUACUUGGAUUUGUUCUCUCGUGAUUUUGACACUGAAAUGGAGCCGUACCAUCUUACACUUGAAGAAGCCCGCUUCUACUUCUAUGUGAGGGUUGUUCUUUCUUGUGAUCCCCUGCAUGGAAACUGCACAGUUCUCCGAGUACAAUUGCCAAAGGAUCAACUCUCUUAUACUAGGAUUGGGGACACCAAAUGGACUUGGAUUGAUGCAAAUCCAAAUUGUAGGGCUUAUCAAGAUAUACUUUAUAACAACAAUGAUGGUUUAUUUUAUGGUGUUUGUGUU